Molecule: ribosomal RNA, 563 nt
Filed under: Micrelenchus huttonii
Lineage: Eukaryota; Metazoa; Mollusca; Gastropoda; Trochida; Trochidae
Description: partial 16S ribosomal RNA
Rfam family: Bacterial large subunit ribosomal RNA
Source: RNAcentral
UUUUUACAAAAACAUGUCUCUUUGUAUUAUAAUAAAGUAAGUAUAAAGAGUCGGACCUGCCCGGUGACUAUAUUGUUAAACGGCCGCGGUACCCUAACCGUGCAAAGGUAGCAUAAUCAUUUGCCUUUUAAUUGGAGGCUGGUAUGAAUGGUUUGACGAGAGCUAAGCUGUCUCUUUUGAAAUAUAUAUAAAUUAACUUUUAGGUGAAGAGGCCUAAAUUUGUGUAAGGGACAAGAAGACCCUGUUGAGCUUUAGUGAAGUUAUAAAUAUUUAACGUUGAUAAAACGUUAGUAUGUACUAGGUAUAAUUAUAAUUUGUAGCUAAUCUUUAGUUGGGGCGACUGAGGAACAUAAAAAGCUUCCUUAUAAAAAUCAAUUGAUUUUAGAGUAUAUCGUUUUUAUGCUGACAUGUUAUUUUGAUCCAAAAUUGUUUUGAUUAAAGGAAAAAGUUACCACAGGGAUAACAGCGUAAUCUUUCUGGAGAGAUCUUAUCGAAAGAAGGGUUUGCGACCUCGAUGUUGGACUAAGAUAUCCUAAGGGUGUAGAAGUUCUAAAGGUUGGUCG